This 76-nucleotide transfer RNA is filed under the name Elusimicrobiota bacterium. Its description in RNAcentral is "Elusimicrobia bacterium tRNA-Lys". It matches the Rfam family "tRNA". From Rfam's summary of the family: Transfer RNA (tRNA) molecules are approximately 80 nucleotides in length. Their secondary structure includes four short double-helical elements and three loops (D, anti-codon, and T loops). Lineage: Bacteria; Pseudomonadati; Elusimicrobiota. The record is from RNAcentral.
GGGUUUGUAGCUCAAGUGGUAGAGCAGCGGCCUUUUAAGCCGUUGGUCGUGGGUUCGAGUCCCACCAAACCCACGA